Molecule: ribosomal RNA, 119 nt
Filed under: Nicotiana sylvestris (wood tobacco)
Lineage: Eukaryota; Viridiplantae; Streptophyta; Magnoliopsida; Solanales; Solanaceae
Source: RNAcentral
GGAUGCGAUCAUACCAGCACUAACGCACCGGAUUCCAUCAGAACUCCGAAGUCAAGUGUGCUUGGGCGAGAGUAGUAUUAGGAUGGGUGACCCCCUGGGAAGUCCUCGUGUUGCAUCCC